RNAcentral lists this long non-coding RNA (286 nucleotides) under Prunus persica (peach). Its description in RNAcentral is "long non-coding RNA (PPER_LNC000132)". Lineage: Eukaryota; Viridiplantae; Streptophyta; Magnoliopsida; Rosales; Rosaceae. The record is from RNAcentral.
CUCUCACAUACUCUCACAGGAAAGAAGAAAUGACAAAAAUAAUGAAGUGAUGGACACCUAACGUUCUGUAUCAAUAUAUAUUUUUUUUUCUUCUUCCUUUCUCUGUAACAUAUCUUCCCCCAAAAUCUUACCUCUUAUCAAGCUAACCUGUCCCCAAAGCUUUUGUAACGAUGUCUUCUCUUUCGCCUAUGUAUAUAUGUAUUUUUUAAAAUUCUCUUUCCUAUGUCAAUUGAGAUGAUGGGUGGUUUCAGGAAAUGAUUCCUUUGUUGUCCAUGUCAACUUCCUG